RNAcentral lists this ribosomal RNA (409 nucleotides) under uncultured bacterium. RNAcentral's name for it is "bacterial SSU rRNA". It matches the Rfam family "Bacterial small subunit ribosomal RNA", at positions 509 to 916 of the family's 1533-position model. The record is from RNAcentral.
CAGCAGCCGCGGUAAUACAGAGGGUGCAAACGUUGUUCGGAAUCACUGGGCGUAAAGCGCAUGUAGGCGGCUACGUAAGUCGGACGUGAAAUCCCACGGCUCAACCGUGGAAGUGCGCUCGAAACUGUGUAGCUUGAGUUCUGGAGAGGAAGACGGAAUACUUGGUGUAGAGGUGAAAUUCGUAGAUAUCAGGUAGAACACCAGUGGCGAAGGCGGUCUUCUGGACAGAAACUGACGCUGAGAUGCGAAAGCGUGGGGAGCAAACAGGAUUAGAUACCCUGGUAGUCCACGCCGUAAACGAUGGGUGCUAGGUGUGGGGGGUGUCAACUCCCUCCGUGCCGAAGCUAACGCAUUAAGCACCCCGCCUGGGGAGUACGGCCGCAAGGCUAAAACUCAAAGGAAUUGACGG